UUUUAAGUAUUUUUGAUGAGCUAAUUUAUUUAACUAAAUAAAAUAGUAUGCUAAAUUUAAUAACUCUGUUAGAUAUUAGUCAUUGGUUGUUAUUAUUUUAUUAACAAAAAUUAAAAAAAUUAAAUUCUAACUAACUUACUAUUAGAUUUAGUAAAAUUCUUAAUUUAUUUGAAUGGAAUAAUGAAAAUAAGAUAAUUAGAAGCUAAGCGAGUGUAAAUUAAAUAAAUAAAUUUAAUAUUUUUUAACAUUAAUUAUCUAAUCACUAAUUUUUUAUUAAAAAUUUGAGUAGUUAAAAUCUUAUUUAUCUACUAAAAUUUUUAUUUGUACAUAUGUUGGCCCCCCUC
This 344-nucleotide long non-coding RNA is filed under the name Ananas comosus (pineapple). RNAcentral's name for it is "long non-coding RNA (ACOM_LNC031650)". The record is from RNAcentral. Lineage: Eukaryota; Viridiplantae; Streptophyta; Magnoliopsida; Poales; Bromeliaceae.